RNAcentral lists this long non-coding RNA (1507 nucleotides) under Salmo salar (Atlantic salmon). RNAcentral's name for it is "lncRNA (ENSSSAG00000088088.1)". The record is from RNAcentral. Lineage: Eukaryota; Metazoa; Chordata; Actinopteri; Salmoniformes; Salmonidae.
AGCAGCCCAGCUUUGGUGCCCUCUCCCACAACAACACUCAUCACUCUCCCUCUGCUCCCUGAGAAUUACCGUGGCACUCUGGGAUUUUAAUGCUGCCUGCCAGGGCUAUGGGGGACUAAACACUCUGCUCAGGAAGUCAAUGUUCCUGGCUAGAUGUUUAUGCUUGUGGAAAUUGUUUUCAUUUUUUCCCUUCUGUUAAGUAUAUGAUUUGAAUCUCAAACUCCCCGUUCCUGAUGUGAUGGGGAUUGUUUUUUCAUUCCAGAGGGAUUGUUUUUUUUCAUCCACCAGGGAAAUUCUCUAAAGGGGACAUUUUCCAUUAAAAUGUUUCUUCUGAGGGUUCUCUCUGGCGCGAGUAAUGUACUCAUGUUUUCCAAUGACAGUGGUAGUUUUACGAUGCGUUUACCCUUUAAUGGUAUGGAAUGAAUGUUUUCACUGAUGCUGCGCUGAAUCACAGAGCUCUGUCACUGCCCUUUCUCUCGCUUUCUUUUGUUCUUUCACUUUACAAUGUGCCUUAUUCCAACACGAUAGCCUGAACUACAGUAACAUAUUCCUUUAGUCCACAUACACUGCGUGUACAAUACAUUAAGGACACCUGCUCUUUCCUUGACUUAGCUUUCACCUGGUCAGUCUAUGAUCCCUUAUUGAUGUCACCUGUUAAAUCCACUUCAAUGUAGAUGAAGGGGAGGAGACGGGUUAAAGAAGUAUUUUUUUUUUAAGCCUUGAGACAAUUGAGACUUGGAUAGUGUAUGUGUGCCACCCAGAGGGUGAAUGGGCAAGACAAGAUUUAAGUGCCUUUGAACAGGGUAUGGUUGUAGGUGCAAGGUGUACCGGUUUGUCAAGAAAUGCAAAGGACAUCCAGCCAACUUGACACACCUGUGGAAAGCAUUAGUCAACAUGGGCCUGCAUCCUUGUAGAGCACUUUCGACACCUUGUAGUGUCCAUGCCCCUACGAGGUUGUUUUUAGGGCAAAGGGGGGUGCGCAACUCAAUAUUAGGAAGGUGUCCUUAAUGUUUUGUCUACACAGUGUAUUGUCCUACUGUCAAAAAACAAACUAGGUUAUUUUAGCGUUAUACAUUUAACACGUUGCCUUAUGUUAUAGGUAUUUGAAAUACAAUGUAUUCAUAUUUUUAAUAUAGUGCUCUAUCAAAGGAUUUCACUAUUAAUCAGUGGAUUCUUUAAAAGUGGAGUGCACUGUGCCACAAAACAUUGGUGUGUAGGCUACACCUUUAACAUCACAUGGAUAUUUAUUUUGUUCAGGAUUUGUCUCCUUCAUACAUCGCCUUUCCAGUUUUCACCUCAAUAUUUCAUGAACCUUUCAUUCAUUCCACGCGUUGACUGCUGGAUACAGGAGUUAAGGCUGAGGGAUUUCAGGCUGAUCCUUCUACAAUUUUAAGGGAUUUCCUCUUGGGUUUCCUGUCAAUGUGCUGAAGGUGGAAUUGAACUCGUAUUUCAAUAUCAUUUUAUAAUAAAUAAAUCAGCCUUUUUCAUCAGAUCUAUUGUUUUGCUC